UGGAAUGGUAUAUCCUCGAAAGAUCCGUUGCCUUAGGAUGGGACUGCGUCCGAUUAGGUUGUUGGCGGGGUAACGGCCCACCAAGCCUUUUAUCGGUACGGGUUGUGGGAGCAAGAUCCCGGAGAUGGAUUCUGAGACAUGAAUCCAGGCCCUACGGGGCGCAGCAGGCGCGCAAACUUUACAAUGCGAGCAAUCGUGAUAAGGAAACCCUGAGUGCCUGUCGAUGCAGGCUGUUCAUAUAUCUAAAUCAUAUGUGAAGAAAGGGCAGGGCAAGACCGGUGCCAGCCGCCGCGGUAAUACCGGCUGCUCGAGUGAUGGCCACUAUUACUGGGUUUAAAGCGUCCGUAGCUUGACUGUUAGGUCUCUUGGGAAAUCUUCGCGCUCAACGUGAAGGCGUCUAAGAGAUACCGGCAGUCUUGGAACUGGGAGAGGUAAACCGUACUUCGGGGGUAGGAGUGAAAUCUUGUAAUCCUCGAGGGACGACCUAUGGCGAAGGCAGUUUACCAGAACAGCUUCGACAGUGAGGGACGAAAGCUGGGGGAGCAAACGGGAUUAGAUACCCCGGUAGUCCCAGCCGUAAACAAUGUGCGUUAGGUGUGUCGGUAACCACGUGUUACUGAUGCGCCGAAGAGAAAUCGUGAAACGCACCACCUGGGAAGUACGGUCGCAAGGCUGAAACUUAAAGGAAUUGGCGGGGGAGCACCACAACAGGUGGAGCCUGCGGUUUAAU
Molecule: ribosomal RNA, 730 nt
Filed under: uncultured Methanocorpusculum sp.
Lineage: Archaea; Methanobacteriati; Methanobacteriota; Methanomicrobia; Methanomicrobiales; Methanocorpusculaceae
Description: bacterial SSU rRNA
Rfam family: Archaeal small subunit ribosomal RNA
Source: RNAcentral